UACAGAGGUGGCAAGCGUUGUUCGGAAUUACUGGGCGUAAAGGGCGCGUAGGCGGGCUGUCAAGUCUGGGGUGAAAUCCCGCGGCUCAACCGUGGAACUGCCUCAGAUACUGACGGCCUCGAGGGAGAUAGGGGCGAGCGGAACUAAUGGUGGAGCGGUGAAAUGCGUUGAUAUCAUUAGGAACUCCGGUGGCGAAGGCGGCUCGCUGGAUCUUUUCUGACGCUGAGGCGCGAAAGCUAGGGGGAGCAAACGGG
Molecule: ribosomal RNA, 254 nt
Filed under: uncultured bacterium
Lineage: Bacteria
Description: partial 16S ribosomal RNA
Rfam family: Bacterial small subunit ribosomal RNA
Source: RNAcentral